AUUUCUCACGUCUUCUCGGCUGAAAUCAGCUCAACCUGCCAUCUUUGGACUUCAGUAUAAAUGUGAAUUCUCCACUUUCUCUGGCCCACAACAUCUUACUCGGCUUGUCUAAAGACCAUAUUUCAUUAAUGUUCAGAAACGUUUACCUCCUUACAUGAAACCCAUUUCGAAGUUGGGCACUCGUUAUGAUUUCCAGAUUCGCAUAUUUUCGGACGGACAAUAGUAACUUUGUUGAUUCCUUCUUCAAUUAUAUUUCCGAGAGGUCUAGGAUUUGAAUUAGCUCCCAAGCUUCACCCUUUUGAGUCCUAAAUACUCUCGAGUCUCCAUUUCAUAUCUUAGCCAAAUCUAUCCAAAUUUGAAACUCCAGUUUGCAAAUUUGCUCAAAUUUGACUUUGGCUCAAAUUACCCCCCCUCUAAUCCAACUUCACCAUUAGCUUCUUAAUGUUAUUCUUAAGCUAUCAUUAACACGGGGUGUUACACGCCCUGCCCCCGGUGUGGCCGCCGCCACCGGACGUCCCCUCGCCCCUCUCGGCCGGCGCCCCUAAUUCUUCAAUCUUUGUUGUUCAAGUUAGAAAAUUGAAAUUAGAAAUUAGAAAAGGGUAGAGAGGUGGUAGGAUGAAUUAGAAAUUAGAAAUUAGAAAAGGAUAGGAAAGGAUUUUUUUUACAGAAGAUAGAGAGGUGGUAGGAAUUUUUUUAGAAAUUAGAAAAGGAUGUUUGACUUGGCAAUCUAAGGUAUAAGAACUAUAUGUGGAUGUCGGCCGUCGUGCCGUUCCGUUGCUGUGGAUGUGGUUGUCAGCCAUCGUGCCGUUUUGUUUGAUGCAGGUUAUGGAAACCUCCCCGUGCAGGGGAGGUGCUGUCGAAAUUUUAACUUGACAGUAGUAUGUUCCUUUCUUUGCAGGAGAGACUACGUUACCAUCCUCGAGUCAUCACUUUGCAGGAUAGCAAGGUGAGGCAUCCUAUACCUCUCUUUUCGUAUGAUGUUUGUAUAUCACGUAACCUAAUUAGGCGUCUC
Molecule: long non-coding RNA, 1012 nt
Filed under: Setaria viridis
Lineage: Eukaryota; Viridiplantae; Streptophyta; Magnoliopsida; Poales; Poaceae
Description: long non-coding RNA (SVIR_LNC007222)
Source: RNAcentral